RNAcentral lists this ribosomal RNA (492 nucleotides) under uncultured bacterium. Its description in RNAcentral is "partial 16S ribosomal RNA". It matches the Rfam family "Bacterial small subunit ribosomal RNA", at positions 29 to 507 of the family's 1533-position model. The record is from RNAcentral.
AGUGAACGCUGGCGAUAGGCCUAACACAUGCAAGUCGAACGGCAGCACAGUAAGAGCUUGCUCUUACGGGUGGCGAGUGGCGGGCGGGUGAGGAAUGCAUCGGAAUCUACUUUUUCGUGGGGGAUAACGUAGGGAAACUUACGCUAAUACCGCAUACGACCUACGGGUGAAAGCAGGGGAUCUUCGGACCUUGCGCGAUUGAAUGAGCCGAUGUCGGAUUAGCUAGUUGGCGGGGUAAAGGCCCACCAAGGCGACGAUCCGUAGCUGGUCUGAGAGGAUGAUCAGCCACACUGGAACUGAGACACGGUCCAGACUCCUACGGGAGGCAGCAGUGGGGAAUAUUGGACAAUGGGCGCAAGCCUGAUCCAGCCAUACCGCGUGGGUGAAGAAGGCCUUCGGGUUGUAAAGCCCUUUUGUUGGGAAAGAAAAGCAGCAGGUUAAUACCCCGCUGUUCUGACGGUACCCAAAGAAUAAGCACCGGCUAACUUCGUG